AACAUGAGAUGUCCAGGAUUGGAGGUUGAAAAGAUUUCACUACAGUGUUCUGCAAUAGUUGGAGCAGAUAACUUCCAGUGUAGCCACAGCCAUGGACUCCAGAUUUCCAGAUUUUCAAGAACUGGACCUGGAACCCGAAAGAGCUUGUCAGGAUGCGGCAGGAACACUGGAGGUAGAUUUUUUUUUAUUUUUGAAUUUGGGGACUGUUGACCUUGCUGUGAGAAAAGAGACAACGACUGAGCAAGCACUACCACCAGCACUGUUACUGGGAAUUAGAAGACCUGAGUUUCUGUCCAGACCCUCAGUGCAAACUGAGGAUGCUCCAUCCAAAGUGAAUUAUGAUAGCAGACUCCUUGAAAGCAGGGUCCUUGUUUAGUGCAUCUUUGCCCACAUACACCACAACAUAUCAAGAUGCAUUUAUUAGGAAGGAGGAGUUUAGAGAGCAGGCUAUCAGAAUAACCACUCAUCCUGUGCCUCCUGAUUGCUGAGUGUUCACCUGGACCUUCUGACUACCUUCCCUGUGCUAUUCCAUCAGCCUACAGACCUGGUACCUGGAUUUUUGCCCGAGAUGAUUCCUACCACCUUACUACUGAAGAAGACACCCAUUCCAGUGGACCACUGUGACCCAGGAGGCAUUCAGCCAUCAUGAUGUGGCCUUUACCUCCACUCCUGUCUUGUUCUACCCAGAUUCAGCACAGCCCUUUAUAGUGAAGUCAGAGUCCUCAAGCCAAAUAGCUAAAGCUGUUUUAUCACAACAAAGGCCUAGUUUGUUCCAUGAGUGUGCAUUUCAUUUCUUCAGUUAAAGCCUUCAGAGACACACAAUAAAUUUGGACCAGGGGAUUUUUUAGUUAUUAAUGCUCUCUGAAGAAAGGCAACAUCUUUUUGAGAGCAGCAUUGGACCACACCCCACAAUCUCAAAUGAUUGAAAUUCAUGAACAUCUAGGAUCCCGUGAAGGUCACUGGACCCU
This 968-nucleotide antisense RNA is filed under the name Pan troglodytes (chimpanzee). The stretch from base 469 to 705 matches the Rfam family "Taurine upregulated gene 1 conserved region 3". Lineage: Eukaryota; Metazoa; Chordata; Mammalia; Primates; Hominidae. The record is from RNAcentral.